AAGUGGAGAGAGUUUUAUCUCAUCAUCUGCUGUUUCAUAUUGGGUGAGAUUCAACUCCUCCAACUGC
Molecule: microRNA precursor, 67 nt
Filed under: Nautilus pompilius
Lineage: Eukaryota; Metazoa; Mollusca; Cephalopoda; Nautilida; Nautilidae
Description: Npo-Mir-1175_pre stem-loop
Source: RNAcentral